Molecule: transfer RNA, 56 nt
Filed under: Bos taurus (domestic cattle)
Lineage: Eukaryota; Metazoa; Chordata; Mammalia; Artiodactyla; Bovidae
Also listed under: 3 other names
Rfam family: tRNA
About the family: Transfer RNA (tRNA) molecules are approximately 80 nucleotides in length. Their secondary structure includes four short double-helical elements and three loops (D, anti-codon, and T loops).
Source: Rfam by way of RNAcentral
UGGCUCAGUGGUAAAGAAUCUGCCUGCCAAGCAGGAGACCCAGGCUCGAUACCUGG